GAUGAAGAACGCAGCGAAAUGCGAUACGUAAUGUGAAUUGCAGAAUUCAGUGAAUCAUCGAGUCUUUGAACGCACAUUGCGCCCCCUGGUAUUCCGGGGGGCAUGCCUGUCCGAGCGUCAUUGCUGCCCUCAAGCACGGCUUGUGUGUUGGGCCUCCGUCCUCCUCCCGGGGGACGGGCCCGAAAGGCAGCGGCGGCACCGCGUCCGGUCCUCGAGCGUAUGGGGCUUCGUCACCCGCUCUUGUAGGCCCGGCCGGCGCUUGCCGACACAUCAAUCUUUUUUCCAGGUUGACCUCGGAUCAGGUAGGGAUACGCGCUGAACUUAAGCAUAUCAAUAAGCGGAGGA
Molecule: unclassified non-coding RNA, 345 nt
Filed under: soil metagenome
Description: partial contains 5.8S ribosomal RNA, internal transcribed spacer 2, and large subunit ribosomal RNA
Rfam family: 5.8S ribosomal RNA (bases 1-120)
Source: RNAcentral